AAUUAUGGUCAGGUGUGAGACUGCUUUCAUUUUCUCUCCCCAAAAACAGCAGACACGUGACGAAGCCCACAGAAUAUGAUCCUCUGAGUGAAACUCAUCAAGCUGAGGGUGCCACACUCUGAGGAAGCUAUGUGUGUCCAGGGAAAAUAAAAGCACUGACAUCACAUGUCUUGAGGGGAAUGAGGGUAGAGAGGGACAGGAUAAAACCCAUCAGUGACUCAGGCUUUCAUCUGUGUCCUCCCCUUCCUGGAGACACACCGUGUCCCCCAUUAACCGAUGGGUGACUCCAGUUUGACUGGAGAGCCCCCUGCUGGCCCAAUUCAGUAACAACCUUCUCUCCAGUUGUCACCUGCACCGCUGCCAUAUGUCCGAGGAACAGGAAGAGAUCUGAGGAGAUGAGAAAGGGCAUAUUCAGGGGAAUAUGUUGGUUAAAUUUUGUCUACAGCAAUAUAGACUAAUUAUCCAAGUGCAAGAUGUAUACACCAAUAUUUUACACCGUAUAACUAAUAAUUGUUUCUUCAAAUUCUUACAUAUUUAAAAACAAAUAUAAUUUUUGAAAAUGGUUAACCAGAAUCUUUGACACUUUUGUUUGACCAUUGUAUAUGUUCAUGGAUUUAUUCUACUCAAAUGAAAGAUUAUAUACAUUGAAUUAAACUAAUAGUAAUAUCAAAAAA
Epinephelus lanceolatus (giant grouper) is the source of this 674-nucleotide non-coding RNA. The record is from RefSeq and is a predicted model, not a curated record. NCBI's taxonomy places the organism in Eukaryota, Metazoa, Chordata, Actinopteri, Perciformes, Serranidae.